Molecule: ribosomal RNA, 650 nt
Filed under: uncultured archaeon
Lineage: Archaea
Description: bacterial SSU rRNA
Rfam family: Archaeal small subunit ribosomal RNA
Source: RNAcentral
CUCACCAAGCCUUUUACCGGUACGGGCCGUGAGAGCGGGAGCCCGGAGAUGGGCACUGAGACAAGGGCCCAGGCCCUACGGGGCGCAGCAGUCGCGAAAACUUUGCAAUACACGAAAGUGUGACAAGGCUAUCCCGAGUGCCAUCCGCUGAGGAAGGCUUUUACCCAGUAUAAAUAGCUGGGAGAAUAAGGAGAGGGCAAGUCUGGUGUCAGCCGCCGCGGUAAUACCAGCUCUCCGAGUAGUGUGGAUGUUUAUUGGGCCUAAAGCAUCCGUAGCUUGCUAUACAAGUCCUCUGUUAAAUCCACCGAUUUAAUCGUUGGAUUGCGGGGGAUACUGUUUGGCUAGGGGACGGGAGAGGCCGACGGUAUUUCCGGGGUAGGGGUGAAAUCCUAUAAUCCCGGGAAGACCACCAGUGGCGAAGGCUGUCGGCUAGAACGCGCCCGACGGUGAGGGAUGAAAGCUGGGGGAGCGAACCGGAUUAGAUACCCGGGUAGUCCCAGCUGUAAACGAUGCGGGCUAGGUGUAGGGGCAGCUACGAGCUGCUCCUGUGCCGCAGAGAAAUUGUUAAGCCCGCCGCCUGGGGAGUACGAUCGCAAGAUUGAAACUUAAAGGAAUUGGCGGGGGAGCACAAGGGCGAAUCGCGCCGCUAU